Molecule: unclassified non-coding RNA, 408 nt
Filed under: Melitaea cinxia (Glanville fritillary)
Lineage: Eukaryota; Metazoa; Arthropoda; Insecta; Lepidoptera; Nymphalidae
Description: misc RNA ENSMCXG00005019366.1
Source: RNAcentral
AAACAUAGGACUUUCAUACAAACUUCCAACCCCCGUUUUAUCCCCUUAGGGGUAGAGUUUCAUAAAAUUCGUUCUAAGCAAAUGUGUACGCCCUAUAAGAAACGUACCUGCCAAAUUUCAAGUUUGUAGGUAUUAUAGUUUCGGAGAUUUCGUGAUGAGUGAAUCAACCUACCAUCCCCCGUUUUAACCCCAAAAGGGAGUUGAUUUCUAAAUAUACAUUAUUUGGACACCUUCUCACCAUCUAUAGAGUAUACAUUUUAAAUUUCAAGUCUCUUACUUCAAAAACAUGGGACUUUCAUACAAACUUCCAACCCCCUUUUUACCCCCUUAAGGGUCGAAUUUUGUAAAAUUCGUUCUUAGCGGAUGUUUACGCCCUAUAAGGAGCCUUUCUGCCAAAUUUCAAGUUUG